This 267-nucleotide ribosomal RNA is filed under the name uncultured archaeon. Its description in RNAcentral is "partial 16S ribosomal RNA". It matches the Rfam family "Archaeal small subunit ribosomal RNA", at positions 717 to 982 of the family's 1478-position model. The record is from RNAcentral.
AGACGUCUACAUUAGACUACCCCUGUACGUCCCAGCCGUAAACUAUGCUCGCUAGGUGUCAGGCAUAGCGCGACCGUGUCUGGUGCCGCAGGGAAGCCGUGAAGCGAGCCACCUGGGAAGUACGGCCGCAAGGCUGAAACUUAAAGGAAUUGGCGGGGGAGCACAACAACGGGUGGAGCCUGCGGUUUAAUUGGACUCAACGCCGGGAAGCUCACCGGAUAAGACAGCGGAAUGAUUGCCGGGCUGAAGACUCCGCAUGACUAGCUG